UCAGGACGAACGCUGGCGGCGUGCCUAAUACAUGCAAGUCGAACGAACUCUGGUAUUGAUUGGUGCUUGCAUCAUGAUUUACAUUUGAGUGAGUGGCGAACUGGUGAGUAACACGUGGGAAACCUGCCCAGAAGCGGGGGAUAACACCUGGAAACAGAUGCUAAUACCGCAUAACAACUUGGACCGCAUGGUCCGAGUUUGAAAGAUGGCUUCGGCUAUCACUUUUGGAUGGUCCCGCGGCGUAUUAGCUAGAUGGUGGGGUAACGGCUCACCAUGGCAAUGAUACGUAGCCGACCUGAGAGGGUAAUCGGCCACAUUGGGACUGAGACACGGCCCAAACUCCUACGGGAGGCAGCAGUAGGGAAUCUUCCACAAUGGACGAAAGUCUGAUGGAGCAACGCCGCGUGAGUGAAGAAGGGUUUCGGCUCGUAAAACUCUGUUGUUAAAGAAGAACAUAUCUGAGAGUAACUGUUCAGGUAUUGACGGUAUUUAACCAGAAAGCCACGGCUAACUACGUGCCAGCAGCCGCGGUAAUACGUAGGUGGCAAGCGUUGUCCGGAUUUAUUGGGCGUAAAGCGAGCGCAGGCGGUUUUUUAAGUCUGAUGUGAAAGCCUUCGGCUCAACCGAAGAAGUGCAUCGGAAACUGGGAAACUUGAGUGCAGAAGAGGACAGUGGAACUCCAUGUGUAGCGGUGAAAUGCGUAGAUAUAUGGAAGAACACCAGUGGCGAAGGCGGCUGUCUGGUCUGUAACUGACGCUGAGGCUCGAAAGUAUGGGUAGCAAACAGGAUUAGAUACCCUGGUAGUCCAUACCGUAAACGAUGAAUGCUAAGUGUUGGAGGGUUUCCGCCCUUCAGUGCUGCAGCUAACGCAUUAAGCAUUCCGCCUGGGGAGUACGGCCGCAAGGCUGAAACUCAAAGGAAUUGACGGGGGCCCGCACAAGCGGUGGAGCAUGUGGUUUAAUUCGAAGCUACGCGAAGAACCUUACCAGGUCUUGACAUACUAUGCAAAUCUAAGAGAUUAGACGUUCCCUUCGGGGACAUGGAUACAGGUGGUGCAUGGUUGUCGUCAGCUCGUGUCGUGAGAUGUUGGGUUAAGUCCCGCAACGAGCGCAACCCUUAUUAUCAGUUGCCAGCAUUAAGUUGGGCACUCUGGUGAGACUGCCGGUGACAAACCGGAGGAAGGUGGGGAUGACGUCAAAUCAUCAUGCCCCUUAUGACCUGGGCUACACACGUGCUACAAUGGAUGGUACAACGAGUUGCGAACUCGCGAGAGUAAGCUAAUCUCUUAAAGCCAUUCUCAGUUCGGAUUGUAGGCUGCAACUCGCCUACAUGAAGUCGGAAUCGCUAGUAAUCGCGGAUCAGCAUGCCGCGGUGAAUACGUUCCCGGGCCUUGUACACACCGCCCGUCACACCAUGAGAGUUUGUAACACCCAAAGUCGGUGGGGUAACCUUUUAGGAACCAGCCGCCUAAGGUGGGACAGAUGAUUAGGGUGAAGUCGUACAAGGGGGAACC
RNAcentral lists this ribosomal RNA (1513 nucleotides) under Lactiplantibacillus pentosus. RNAcentral's name for it is "bacterial SSU rRNA". It matches the Rfam family "Bacterial small subunit ribosomal RNA". The record is from RNAcentral. Lineage: Bacteria; Bacillati; Bacillota; Bacilli; Lactobacillales; Lactobacillaceae.